AUUGAACGCUGGCGGCCGGCCUAACACAUGCAAGUCGAGCGGAGCGGCGGACGGGGAAGUACGGCCUAGGAAUCUGCCUGUUAGUGGGGGAUAACGUCCGGAAACGGGCGCUAAGACCGCAUACUAUCAGAUGAGCCUAGGUCGGAUUAGGUAGUUGGUGGGGUAAAGGCCUACCAAGGCGACGAUCCGUAACUCGUCUGAGAGGAGGAUCAGGCACACUGGGACUGGGACACGGUCCAGACUCCUACGGGAGGUAGCAGGUGGGAAUAUGUGGCAAUGGACGAAAGUCUGACGGAGCAAAGCCGCGUGAGUGAUGACGGCCUUUGGGUUGGAAAGCUCUGUUAAUCGGGACGCGGUACCGGACUAGAAAGCCACGGCUAACUACGUGCCAGCAGCCGCGGUAAUUC
This 407-nucleotide ribosomal RNA is filed under the name uncultured bacterium. RNAcentral describes it as "partial 16S ribosomal RNA". It matches the Rfam family "Bacterial small subunit ribosomal RNA", at positions 29 to 526 of the family's 1533-position model. The record is from RNAcentral.